Molecule: microRNA, 22 nt
Filed under: Chrysemys picta (Painted turtle)
Lineage: Eukaryota; Metazoa; Chordata; Testudines; Emydidae
Description: cpi-miR-92c-3p
Gene: cpi-miR-92c-3p
Source: miRBase by way of RNAcentral
CAUUGCACUCGUCCCGGCCGGA